Molecule: unclassified non-coding RNA, 378 nt
Filed under: plant metagenome
Description: partial contains 5.8S ribosomal RNA, internal transcribed spacer 2, and large subunit ribosomal RNA
Rfam family: 5.8S ribosomal RNA (bases 1-105)
Source: RNAcentral
GAAAUGCGAUAAGUAAUGUGAAUUGCAGAAUUCAGUGAAUCAUCGAAUCUUUGAACGCACCUUGCGCUCCUUGGUAUUCCUUGGAGCAUGCCUGUUUGAGUAUCAUGAAAUCUUCUAAGUAAAUCUUUUGUUAACUCAAUUGGUUUCUACUUUGGUAUUGGAGGUCUUUGCAGCUUCACACCUGCUCCUCUUUGUUCAUUAGCUGGAUCUCAGUGUUAUGCUUGGUUCCACUCGGCGUGAUAAGUUAUCUAUCGCUGAGGACACUGUAAAAGGUGGCCAAGGUAAAUGCAGAUGAACCGCUUCUAAUAGUCCAUUGACUUGGACAAUACUUUUAUGAUCUGAUCUCAAAUCAGGUAGGACUACCCGCUGAACUUAAGC